GAUUAAGAAGAGAUUUAUACUGUUAACUUAUAUUUUGUCAAAUAUCUAUUGCAUUCAGGCCCAACUAGUCCCUAUACCGCUUGUAGAACCUUCUAAUUGCAACACAGUUGGUACAGUCAGGCAAUACUUUGAUACGACACGACUGGAAUGCGUAGAUUGUUCACAAGAUGAGAACUUCCAAGUCACAAGCCCAGAUGGCUUUUCCUGUAUUUGUAAACUUGGCUUCAAAUACAAGCAAAGUUUUGGUGGGAAUGUCACAUGUGAAGCUUGCCCAGCAGGUCAGGUUGCUUCAUCUACUGGCUACAAUUGUCUGAAAUGUCCAGCAGGAGUGGACACAACAACUAAUACAUGUGCUUCUUGUAAUGGAACAUUAG
This is a long non-coding RNA of Mercenaria mercenaria, 374 nucleotides long. RefSeq lists it as uncharacterized. The transcript is spliced from 3 exons. NCBI's taxonomy places the organism in Eukaryota, Metazoa, Mollusca, Bivalvia, Venerida, Veneridae. The record is from RefSeq and is a predicted model, not a curated record.